UCUCACGUAACUGGCGACAGCCGGGCACCGAUGCCGGCACAAGGUGGACACCCACCGGGGAACGUGAGAUUUCAAUAGCCGUUCGCCUGGGCAGCCC
RNAcentral lists this non-coding RNA (97 nucleotides) under Noviherbaspirillum massiliense. RNAcentral's name for it is "ZMP/ZTP riboswitch". It matches the Rfam family "ZMP/ZTP riboswitch aptamer (pfl RNA motif)". From Rfam's summary of the family: Previously known as pfl RNA. Lineage: Bacteria; Pseudomonadati; Pseudomonadota; Betaproteobacteria; Burkholderiales; Oxalobacteraceae. The record is from RNAcentral.